GAUGAAGAACGUAGCGAAAUGCGAUAAGUAGUGUGAAUUGCAGAAUUCAGUGAAUCAUCGAAUCUUUGAACGCACAUUGCGCCCCUUGGUAUUCCAUGGGGCAUGCCUGUUCGAGCGUCAUUUGUACCUUCAAGCUCUGCUUGGUGUUGGGUGUUUGUCUCGCCUCUGCGUGUAGACUCGCCUCAAAACAAUUGGCACCCGGCGUAUUGAUUUCGGAGCGCAGUACAUCUCGCGCUUUGCACUCAUAACGACGACGUCCAAAAGUACAUUUUUACACUCUUGACCUCGGAUCAGGUAGGGAUACCCGCUGAACUUAAGCAUAUCAAUAAGCGGAGGA
RNAcentral lists this unclassified non-coding RNA (337 nucleotides) under soil metagenome. RNAcentral describes it as "partial contains 5.8S ribosomal RNA, internal transcribed spacer 2, and large subunit ribosomal RNA". The stretch from base 1 to 120 matches the Rfam family "5.8S ribosomal RNA", at positions 35 to 154 of the family's 154-position model. The record is from RNAcentral.